Molecule: ribosomal RNA, 440 nt
Filed under: uncultured bacterium
Lineage: Bacteria
Description: partial 16S ribosomal RNA
Rfam family: Bacterial small subunit ribosomal RNA
Source: RNAcentral
CCUACGGGUGGCAGCAGUGGGGAAUAUUGCACAAUGGGGGAAACCCUGAUGCAGCGACGCCGCGUGAGUGAAGAAGUAUUUCGGUAUGUAAAGCACUAUCAGCAGGGAAGAUAAUGAUGGUAUCUGACUACGAAGCCACGGCUAACUACGGCCCAGCAGCCGCGGUAAUACGUAGGGGGCAAGCGUUAGCCGGAUUUACUGGGUGUAAAGGGUGCGUAGGUGGCAGGGCAAGUCAGAUGUGAAAGCCCGGGGCUCAACCCCGGUACUGCAUUUGAUACUGUCCAGCUGGAGUGCAGGAGAGGUGAGCAGAAUUCCUAGUGUAGCGGUGAAAUGCGUAGAGAUUAGGAGGAACACCAGUGGCGAAGGCGGCUUACUGGACUGUAACUGACACUGAGGCACGAAAGCGUGGGGAGCAAACAGGAUUAGAUACCCUUGUAGUC